Molecule: long non-coding RNA, 375 nt
Organism: Salvelinus namaycush (lake trout)
Lineage: Eukaryota; Metazoa; Chordata; Actinopteri; Salmoniformes; Salmonidae
Exons: 3
Source: RefSeq, a predicted model, not a curated record
AGGUGGUGGAGAUUGCCCCUGCGGCCGACCUGGACCCUCAUCUAAGAGAACGACUGACUUCUGACUCUGUCAAACUGGCCAAACAGGUCGGCUAUGAGAAUGCGGGCACUGUGGAGUUCCUUGUGGAUAAACACGGGAAACAUUACUUCAUAGAAGUCAACUCCAGACUACAGGUGGAACACACUGUCACUGAGGAGGUUACAGAUGUGGACCUGGUCCAUGCCCAGCUGCGUGUGUGUGAGGGACGCAGUCUGCCUGAGCUGGGGUUAACACAGGAGACCAUCAGGGUGAACGGUUGUGCCAUACAGUGUAGAGUCACGACUGAAGACCCGGCCAGAGGCUUCCAACCAGACACAGGACGACUGGAGGUAGGGU